RNAcentral lists this ribosomal RNA (506 nucleotides) under uncultured bacterium. RNAcentral's name for it is "partial 16S ribosomal RNA". It matches the Rfam family "Bacterial small subunit ribosomal RNA", at positions 29 to 523 of the family's 1533-position model. The record is from RNAcentral.
AGUGAACGCUGGCGGUAGGCCUAACACAUGCAAGUCGAACGGCAGCACAGGAGAGCUUGCUCUCUGGGUGGCGAGUGGCGGACGGGUGAGGAAUACAUCGGAAUCUACUUUUUCGUGGGGGAUAACGUAGGGAAACUUACGCUAAUACCGCAUACGACCUACGGGUGAAAGCAGGGGACCUUCGGGCCUUGCGCGAUUGAAUGAGCCGAUGUCGGAUUAGCUAGUUGGCGGGGUAAAGGCCCACCAAGGCGACGAUCCGUAGCUGGUCUGAGAGGAUGAUCAGCCACACUGGAACUGAGACACGGUCCAGACUCCUACGGGAGGCAGCAGUGGGGAAUAUCGGACAAUGGGCUCAAGCCUGAUCCAGCCAUACCGCGUGGGUGAAGAAGGCCUUCGGGUUGUAAAGCCCUUUUGUUGGGAAAGAAAUCCAGCUGGCUAAUACCCGGUUGGGAUGACGGUACCCAAAGAAUAAGCACCGGCUAACUUCGUGCCAGCCGCCGCAGUAA